ACAUAACUGAUGCCUCCGCGUAUCGACUUUGUGCGCAUUUUAGCUAUUAUGUGUUCUUUUAAUUAAAAUGAUUCUUUUUAAGAUUCAUCUAUUAAAAAUUUGCUUCGGCAUAAUUUUUUUUGAUGAUCUUGUUACUUUGAGUAAAUUAGAGUGUUCAAAGCAAACAGAUAUAGCAUUUGUGCGUUUGAAUACUACAGCAUGGAAUAACAAAAUUGAACAAGUCAGAAUUUUUUUGUUCUUUUUUCUUAUUUUGGCUUAGUUACGAUUAAUAGGAGUAGCUUGGGGGCAUUUGUAUUCAGAUGUCAGAGGUGAAAUUCUUAGAUUUUCUGGAGACAAACAACUGCGAAAGCAUUUGCCUAAAAUACUUCCAUUAAUCAAGAACGAAAGUUAAGGGAGUGAAGACGAUCAGAUACCGUCGUAAUCUUAACCAUAAACUAUGCCGACUAGGCUUUGGAUGAAAGAUUUUAAAAUAAGAGUUUUUCUUUUCUCUCCGGAGAUUAGAACUCUUAGAUUGCUUCCUUCAGUGCCUUAUGAGAAAUCAAAGUCUUUGGGUUCUGGGGCGAGUAUUCGCGCAAGCGAGAAAGUUAAAAGAAUUGACGGAAGGGCACCACCAGGCGUGGAGCUUGCGGCUUAAUUUGACUCAACACGGGAAAACUCACUAGUUUAAGACAAGAGUAGGAUUGACAGAUUAACAGCUCUUUCUUGAUUUCUUGGAUGGUGAUGCAUGGCCGUUUUUAGUUCGUGAAUAUGAUUUGUCUGGUUAAUUCCGAUAACGAACGAGAUCUUAACCUGCUAACUAGCGGCAAAUACGAUAUAUUCUUAUGUAGAAUUGAAUAUAGUGGAUUUGUUAGAUUUUGAAGAAAAUAUUGGAAUUACGUUAAAUGUGAUUCCUUUCCCUUUUCUACUUAAUUUACAUUUCCAUCUAUUUCUUUUUUUGCGUAUGGAUGUAUUUGCUUGAUUGUAAAGCUUCUUAGAGGAACGAUGUGUG
RNAcentral lists this ribosomal RNA (988 nucleotides) under Plasmodium knowlesi. RNAcentral's name for it is "SSU rRNA". It matches the Rfam family "Eukaryotic small subunit ribosomal RNA", at positions 638 to 1428 of the family's 1831-position model. Lineage: Eukaryota; Apicomplexa; Aconoidasida; Haemosporida; Plasmodiidae. The record is from RNAcentral.